GAUGAACGCUGGCGGCGUGCCUAACACAUGCAAGUCGAGCGAUUCUCUUCGGAGAAGAGCGGCAGACGUGCGUGUAACGCGUGGACAACCUGCCCUGUACACACUAACAACAUACCGAAAGUUAUACUAAUACGAGAUAAUAUCCUAUUAUCGCUUUUUAGAAGUAUCAAAGAUUUGUCGUUACAGGAUUGGCCCGCGUCGGAUUAGCUAGUUGGUAAGGUAAUGGCUUACCAAGGCGACGAUCAGUAGCCGAACUGAGAGGGUGAUCGGCCACAGUGGAACUGAGACACGGUCCAAACUCCUACGGGAGGCAGCAGUGGGGAAUAUUGCACAAUGGGCGAAAGCCUGAUGCAGCAACGCCGCGUGAGCGAUGAAGGCCUUAGGGUAGUAAAGUUCUGUCCUCAAGGAAGAUAAUGACGGUACUGGAGGAGGAAGCCCCGGCUAACUACGUG
This 452-nucleotide ribosomal RNA is filed under the name uncultured bacterium. Its description in RNAcentral is "partial 16S ribosomal RNA". It matches the Rfam family "Bacterial small subunit ribosomal RNA", at positions 28 to 507 of the family's 1533-position model. The record is from RNAcentral.